AAGCUCUUAACGUUUGUUGUUUUGUUUUUUUUUAGUUUGUUUUGCUCUCUCUGAAUGGAAGAUGACACAGUCUGAAAAGUGCUAAAUGCUCCUUCUGUGCCGUAUGUGCAGUCAUUAUCUGGGGCUGUCAGCUGCAUCAACCACAGAUUCACCAGCUUCAUUAGUUUCAUCAGCUUCAUCAGCCUACCAGUCUCAGCAGAGUCAUCAGACACCGCCUCUACCUCCAUGGGGGCAUCAUAUCUGACCGUGAUCACAUCUCUGCUCGUGACCUGGCUUAAAAGAUUGAGUUGAUAAGAUUGAAGAAAUUGCCGAGAGCUUGCCGAGAGAAAGUUUGAUUUUGAGCGUCAACUGAAGAAAAUCUUGUGCUCCCUUGUGACAUUUUUACAAACAAAACAAAAGAUACCUCUAAAAUCGGAUUACCAACUCUUUGUUUUAAUGCAUGAACUCUGUGUAAGAUCAUCUGAAACCAAAUCUGAUGACCUGUGAUACCAACACCCAACAGUUUACACAUGAUGAACAUUAGCUGGUGCCUUCCACAAUUAGUUAUGCGUUUAAGUUUUUGUGUUACCUCGUAUUACACCCCACUUUGGCACUUGCAAUGUUAAUAUUUUUUCUUAUGUACAUUAUUCAUUUCAGCUUCUGUCAACAGUAUUAAUAAACUGAA
Long non-coding RNA from Acanthopagrus latus (yellowfin seabream), 664 nucleotides. RefSeq lists it as uncharacterized. NCBI's taxonomy places the organism in Eukaryota, Metazoa, Chordata, Actinopteri, Spariformes, Sparidae. The record is from RefSeq and is a predicted model, not a curated record. The transcript is spliced from 4 exons.